This 157-nucleotide unclassified non-coding RNA is filed under the name plant metagenome. RNAcentral's name for it is "partial contains small subunit ribosomal RNA and internal transcribed spacer 1". The stretch from base 1 to 47 matches the Rfam family "Eukaryotic small subunit ribosomal RNA", at positions 1785 to 1831 of the family's 1831-position model. The record is from RNAcentral.
AAUGUCGAAACAAGGUUUCCGUAGGUGAACCUGCGGAAGGAUCAUUACUGUGAUUUUACUACUACACUGCGUGAGCGGAACGAAAAUCAACAACACCUAAAAUUGUGGAAUAUAGCAUAUAGUCGACAAGAGAAAUCUACGAAAAAGCAAACAAAAU